RNAcentral lists this ribosomal RNA (270 nucleotides) under uncultured bacterium. Its description in RNAcentral is "partial 16S ribosomal RNA". It matches the Rfam family "Bacterial small subunit ribosomal RNA", at positions 83 to 353 of the family's 1533-position model. The record is from RNAcentral.
CUUUGCUGGCGACCGGCGCACGGUGAGUAACACGUAUCCAACCUGCCGAUGACUCGGGGAUAGCCUUUCGAAAGAAAGAUUAAUACCCGAUGGCAUAGUUCUUCCGCAUGGUGGAACUAUUAAAGAAUUUCGGUCAUCGAUGGGGAUGCGUUCCAUUAGGUUGUUGGCGGGGUAACGGCCCACCAAGCCUUCGAUGGAUAGGGGUUCUGAGAGGAAGGUCCCCCACAUUGGAACUGAGACACGGUCCAAACUCCUACGGGAGGCAGCAUG